UGGCGGUAGCUCCACUCCUCCCCCAGAGUUUAAUCGAGAUCAUUGUUGAGCACACUGCACUCUCUGUGCACCACCGUGCAUAUCCUCAUCUUCAUCGUAUGCCUCUUGUGCUUGCUUCCUGCGCAUCUCCUCUUCAAUGUUGACAUCGUGGAGAGUGGUCUCUUCACAUUCAUCCAAUUCCAUAUCUGAGAGCUGCACUGAGGUCCUGGGAGGCAGAACGCCCUCCAGCGCCUUGCACUGUUCGGGGUUCAAGGAGUCUGGGAACUCAACACUGAAGUGGAUGUAAAGUUUGCCCUUCAUGAAUGGCCUCUGGUACAUAGGCAUACCCUCAUCGUUUAUGGCCUUGAAUUGGUCUGUGCAAUUAAGAAUGGAAAACAUUGAGCAAAUGCCUCAACAUGCAAUACAAGCAGAUGUACUGAAACACAAACAGUUACAUACCAGGCUUCACUACUUCACCGGGAAGUGAUUUGAUGAGUAGCUGUCGGCCAUCCAAAUGAGUCAGAAUAAAUUGGAAACCACACAGAGACUCGACGAGAGACAAGGUAUGCUCUACAAAGAGGUCAUCGCCCUUUCUCUUAAACUUGGGGUGCUCUUUUUGUUGUAGGACAAAGACAAUGUCCCCAGUAACAGUGUCGGGCUGAACAAACAGGCAAAAUGAAAACCAAUCAAGAUCACAUGUUACAGAGAGACAAUUACCAAGUUUUGGAAGUUACUCAAGAAAAAUUCAGUCUCACCGCUUCAUCUGCUUCACCAGGGAAUGUAAUCUUUUGUGCAUUUUGCAUACCCUUCUCCACAAUAACUUCCAAAACUUUUUUCUCCUGAACAACCUUUUCACCCUUGCAUUGUGAGCAGCGAUCUUUAUCAUUGAUGGUCUCACCAGUUCCUUUACAUUCAUUGCAAGGAUGCUGCAUUUGCUGAAUCAUAGAGGGGCCAAGGUGUCUGAUGGAAACUUUCAUACCAGAACCUUGACAGCCAGGACACUUCAUUGAAGCACCAGAUUUAGAACCCUUACUGUGAUUUGUUAAAGAAAAAUCAACAUGAUUUCAUUAUAAAGUAACGGAUAAUUAAAGAAGGGAAAAGGCAUAAGUGCAUAACAACCAGAGUUACUCACCCCUUGCACUUUGAGCAAAUUACAUUACGUGAAAGAGAGAGCUUCUUUGAAGUACCGUUGUAGAGAUCUUCCAACGAGACCUUGAGAGGAUGGAUAACAUCCUCUCCCCUUCUCUGCCUUCGGCCUCUGCUGCUUCCACCACCUAAACAGAAUCUCGAAAUCGAUUUCAAUUGCUUACAAUAACCUCACAUUACAUAAUUAAACAUCACAACAAAUAAUAUUACCACCAAACGGGCUUCCACCAAAGAAAGACUGGAAUAUGUCAAAUGGAUCAUGACCACCGCCACCUCCCAUUCCUUCCUUGAGGGCAUCCUCGCCAUAUUGAUCAUAUAUCUCACGUUUCUCUGGAUCACUCAGCACCUCGUAGGCUUGUGCUAACUCCUUGAACUGAAUCAUAAAAGGAAAUUUUUCAAAAAGGUCAAUAUUUAUCUCUUUUGUCGAAUAACUCAGCUGUCUGAACCAUUUUUUUCACGUAAACAGAAGAUUGACCAACAUCAGAUUUAAGUACCCGCGUAAACAGAGAACGACCGACAAACAUUUAAUCGUUCAACACAUUCCACUUCAAAACAUUCAUAUUAUUUACUACACAAGUAAACGAGCAAAUCAACGUAAGAAGACCAUCAAUUCCGCUAGAUGAUUCUUGCAACCCUAAGCAAACAACUCCCUUGACUAAAAUAAAAGCAUGUUAAACCGUCUUAAUUAAAAUCCAAGACCGUCAGCAAAGCAUCAAUUCACGGAACUAAGCAGUCGAUCUCAACAUAACGAUCCACCGUCAAUUAUCAUCAGGAAAACUCGUUAGAAAAUAGCCAGUAUUAAAAAACUACCAACGAUUCAAAAAUCACCAAAGAAUGAAGAAAAUGCUCACUUUUUCAGGGUCGCCACCUUUAUCAGGAUGGUUCUUGAUGGCGGCCUUUCUAUAAGCCUUCUUUAGAUCGUCUUGCGACGCAUUCUUCGAGACUCCAAGAAUCUCAUAAUAUUUGGUAUUAUCGCUCUUCUUCGGCCUUCCAAACAUCUUUGCCCAAACGAUCGGAUCUCAGCAAACCCUAACGAAACAAAUCAACCCCCGAGUCAAAAAAAAAAAAAAAAGAUCGCGAAACCAAAUUCGAUGAGAAAAACAAACAAAUCGAAACCCGAUGAAUCGAAAAUAAGAGAAAACAAGAACCUUAGAAGAGAGAAAAGGGCGAUCUUGAAGUGAAAGAUCGGGUAGAGAGAUCGGUGACCUGAGAGCAGAGAACCCAAAAGGAACGGUUCGAGACGGCGAGGUAGAGAGAGGGAUUGAAGAGUCUGAAAUCUCGAACUAUAAAGGAAAUAGAUGGACGGUCAGGAUUGUUGGUUUAAAAUAUGUGGUCAGGUAAGGCUUAGGGGUAAUCUUGACAUUUUCCAAAGCAAGGCGGCCAAGCCCAUACAUGCUUAAGAAGGAUCUAGAAUUUUCUUGCUUUCUUAUUUUAAGCAAUUACGUUGAGAAGUGGUUUCGUAUUUACUUCCAAAUCUUUUAUUUAAUAGGUCUUUAUAUAUAUAUAUAUUAUUUUAAAUAAAUAUUUGGGAUUUUUUAAAAAUAAAGCAAAAUAUUUACCACAAAAGUUUGUAUAGCAAAAAAAAUUAGUUUAAAUUUGUAUAGUCAAAUCUAAACUAGUUUAAAUUUGUAUAGUCAAAUCUAAACUAGUUUAAGAUAAGAUAUUGUCGUUUCACGGUUUAAAUAACAAUAACAGUUUAAAAAAAAUUACAGAAAAUAAGAUAAAAGUGGAGAGUAAAAAAAUUAAGUAAACAAAAUAAUUUAUUAUUUUAUUAUAUUUGUGAAAAUUAGACUAAAUACUUACUGAUGUAAUAUUGUAGGUAGUACAAAAUAAUUCUAUUUACUUAUUUAAUACCGUGUCAAAACAACUGAGUACUGUCGGUAGAAACAUAAAAUUUUCCUUUUCUACAUGUGUUUGUUAUUGAUAAUUACAAUCGUUUUAUUUUAAUAUCGUUGUAAUUUUUUUUCUUUACGUAUUUAUCUAUCGUAUAUAAUAAUAUUUGUGUCUUAUAGUUGAAUAGCUAUAAAGCAAUAAUAUUUGACUUUGUUUAACUAUGUACUGUUGUAAAAUUUUUCAUUUUUCGCUGUCAACAAUUCACCAAUUCAUUAACAUUCUCACUUAUGCAUAAAAUGACAUACGAGAAGCCUUAGCUUACUCGUUCAAACCCCUUCUAAUUCUGCUCAACUACUAGUGCGUGUACUUAUAUCAACUAUAAUUAAACAUGCACGUUCAACCUAUUGUUUUGUAUGUCGUAGAUGAAUAAGUUCGUGUUUGUUUGAUUUUAAUUUACUAAGAGUAGUAAUUGGAUUGCAUCAUUUUUCAUAUGUCCUGCCCCCGACCACAAAAUGAAACAAAGACUAUUAAAAAACAUAUGAUUUUAACGCGUUGUCACGUGACACUUUGUAUUGUUUUACAUUUCAUAUGAGUUCAAAAUAUAAGAACCACUACCUCUUUUUAGUUGGAAAUUGAUCGUAUAUUUCCACCAAACAUCUAUCUAUCAACAUUUAGAUUUAAAAUAAAAAAAAAUUUGCGACGUUAUGUCAAAAUCAUGCAAUAUUCUCGUUUAGGCCCAAAUACGACUAUCAUACUCUUAUCCAAUUAAACUAUUAAUUAAACACAAACAUUGACAAAAUGUAUUUUAAAAGGAUAGCAAAUAAGUAAAUAUGAAUUUGAAAACAAAAUUUUAAUAUUAUUAUUUGAGAAAAUAGAUUUAUAAUAUCUUAAAUCAAAGUUAAAAGUGAUUUUCUGUUUUGCUAAAUAUUUUAUCAAAAUUUGUUACUUUUGAUUAUUUAUUUAAAUAAAAUCUUACAAAACUUAGAUUUAGAUUUUUCUACUAUAAAUAUUAAAUCUUCUAUUUUUUACAAAUCAUCUUUUAAAAUUUAACUAUUUAUGUUAAUUAUGGUUGAUUGUUUUGAUUGAACAAGUGAUUAUUCCCAAAGCACAAGUUUCAAAUAAAUCUAAAAAAAAGAGUAUAUUUUUAUUAACGAUUUAUUUUGAAUAAAAGGCAUUUUUUAAUUUUGAAGCAAUAUGUUUCUACAAUGUCCGUACGGAAGCCAUCGUUGGUGCGUUCAGUGAAUAUAGGAGUGGGCGCAAAAGCGCGGAGUUUGGCAGUGCUUUUGGAGCGAGUGCUUUUAUAGAGAACCAUUUAAGCUUAGAAGAAGAGAGAGGGAAUCUCAAGUUGUAGCUUCUUUUUAUUCUUCUUCAUCUCGUUGAGGGCCGAAUUUUGAAGCUAAUGGCGUCUUCUUCUUCAUUCUGAACACAUUACAGCUGCAAAAAAGGCAAGGUAAGGCGAAUGAAACGACCCAAAUGCAAGAAAAUGCCAAAACUGAAAUUUAUAACUUCAUGGGUUUUUCAAAUUAUUGUGAAAAUUCAAACCCCUUUUGCUUUCUUUUUGGUUUCCCACUUGAAAAUGCUUUACAAGAACUUCUGUGUUCUCUAUGUUUUUGUUUUAUUUUUUUUUUAAUUUUAGUUGGGGGUUCUGUUUUUUUCUUUUUCUUUUUUGUUCGUUGUCGAUUUCACUUUUUAUAUUUUUCUACAGUGUGGAUCGUUUCUCAGUGCGGUCUCACUGUUGGAUUGUGAUUUCUCUUUAAGCUUUGAAAAUGUUUAAUGCAGCUUGAUUUUUUUUUUCUUAGCUGCAUUGAUGAAUGCAGACCUCAUGCGUUUUUUAUUUCAACUUGUGGGGUUCUAAAUUAUUAGUAAAUUUUGGAGGUGAUGAUGUUUGGUGACUGAGAAAAUGCGAGAAAGUAAAAGAAAACUCUGCUUCGAGAGUUUACUGUGGUUUAGAUGGAGGUAAAAAUUAACAGAAAAUCGAAAAGAUAGGAGUGGUCUGACAUCUUUUAUAUCGUUCACUGUUCUUUGGCUGCAAAUCUUAGGGUUUAUUUUGUUGGUUUGUAUAAUUUUCACGAGAAGUUUGAUUAGUGUUGUAGAAUAGAAUGAGAAUCUUUGGUGUUUUAGCUCUGGAAAAGUGCGAAUGAUUUUUUAAAUUGAAAAUAUUUUAUACAUCUCUUCUGCAGAUUUUGGGUCAUUUUCUUCUCUUGUCGUGAAGUUUGUUUUUCUAACUGCUUUUUGUCCUACACUAAAAUUUAAUUGUUGUUUGUUUUUCCCCCCGUGAUUUCGGCUGUUGUAAGUGGUGAAAAAAUUUAAUAAAAAUUUUUCUGCCAGGAAGAUGUUUCAUUUUCACAUUGUCUUUUUCGUUUCCAACCAAAAAAUUACACUUAUAAAAGCUAAGAACGAGGCUGAUGCUGAUGGGAAACUUGUGAUAUAGUCCAGUAACUCACCAUGUCAACAAGGCAAACUCACCUUCCUCCUCGUCCUCGCUGCCCGAUUCAAAAGAAAACAAUUUCUGGUUCUAUUGCACCAACCCCACCUGUUAAUGAAUUAUCUCAUGACAAUUCUUCUUCAGUAAGUUCUGUGUUGGAGGAUGAGCCUGUAUGGCUCGGUGAAUUAUUAAGUGACUGUGAAUCAAAGUCCUUUGGACAACCGCUUCGACGGUCAGCUAGCGACUCUGUCACCCUUCUAGAUGGUCUAGCAGACUCACUGAGGAGUAUGUGUAUUGCCAAAGAUGUGGAGAAUUCAGUUGGGAAUGAAACUUGUGAACAAUGGGAUCCAUCUUGCACUUAUGGACCUAACUCACCCAGGAGAAAAUGCAGUUCAGAUUUUUCAAACCACAGUAUGGUUUCAGCAUUAUCAGAAUUUGUUCAUCUUCACCAUGCUGCUCCGGUGCACACAGAUGCCUGCUCCUUUGCCGAGAACUCUUCUUCGAAUUUAAAUGGAAACAUUAAUGAAUCAGUUAGGGAUUUCAACACAAAUGAAAAUGCAGCAAAACGGUUAGAUUCUAAAAUUUUCUAUCCAUCUGGCAUAAUUGUUCUUGUUGAUCAUGUAACGAGAUUACUGUCUUUGGCAUUUGCCCCCUAGUAUCCCUUUCCAAAUAUACUGCUGUUACUGAUGAUAGCAAUGCUUGUAUUUGAUGAAACAUUGACGUGGUGUGUCCUUUAUUGAUAUGAUAAUGUAACUAUGUUGCACAGUAGAGAAAAUAUAUUGUGAAGCUCCACGCGACAUGUCAAAAGAAAAGCCAUAGUCUUUCUUUGUUUCUUAUAUCUGAAACGUGUGCCAAGUAUCCUACCUUUUUGCCUUUCAUGCAUGACUAGAAUUUCCGUUCUCUGCUUUCUCUCUCGGCGAUAGCUUGCUUGUCAAAUUAAAGUCUAUUCUGAGAUACAUUAUCCAAUUUAAGACCUUGAAAUGAUGCAUCUUCUUAUUUUUAGUAAAUUCUUCCCCCCUAAAUUUUAAAUAUCAACAGUAAUUGUUAUUCAUUUAUACAGUUGAGUAAUGGGAUGCAUACCAGAGUUAUAAUAACACUAGUUGGCUACAAGUACCAAUCUUUAAUAAAGAAAGUUCUACAAUCUCUAGCUACAAUCCCUCAUCUUUCAUGUUUGUGAAUGAUCCUCUUUAUUUUUUAUGCUUGUGAAAAUUUUAAUAUGUUUGCUCCGUUGUAUAAUGGCUACUUUUCAUUAUUCUGGCAACAAAUGUCUAAUUCCACUUUUGAAGAUUGGUUUUGAAUAAUGGCUCUAGGCGUUCAAUGAGUUAGCAAACAUGAGGUGGUGGAGGGUGUGGCAGAAGCGUUGGUAAUUUUUAGUAUCGUAGUUUUCUGUUAAAACGUAAGCUGCAUAUGAUUUUGUUUCUUGUGAAGAAACGUUGCUCUCACUAGAAACUAUGAUUUAUUUUUUAUUUUGUUUAAAAAAUAUUGAUAAUUUAGGGAAAGGUGGAAAUCAGUUUCAAUUAAUGUUUGAUGUCAUAGAAAAAUGGUAAAAAAUGGUCAGUUUUUGGGUAGGAGUUUUGCUGUUUAUUUUAAAAUUAGUUCUUGCAGUACCUCAGUAAUGGAAGUAUGUAGCAUAAGCUGUCUUCAAGAGAGUAAGGAAUGUUCCCAUUUUCAUCUGUAAAUGUGAAUUAGUUGUUGCUCAGGUAACUUCCAGAUACUGGAACACCUACUUAUGAAGUGAUUUGCUGAAAAGAAUUGAGAGAUCAAGAAUAUGAUGUGAUUUCUCAUUAAUGUAUGUAUGGAUGAUGACAUGAGUCUAAUUCUUGAUAUCCACUGCUUUUAUAUAUUGAUUUUGUAUUCUACAAGUAUAACCUUGAUUAUUGCCUAUCCUUAUAGGUCACUGUUUCUAUUUCCAAAAAGUAAUGUGAUUUCUUUGCAGGCACAAUGGGCAGCGGUCAAGGGUUCGUAAGCUUCAGUACAUUGCUGAACUGGAGAGGAAGGUUAAUGUUCUCCAGGUAAUCCCAUUGGGAGAUUUGGGCUAGCAUAUGAUAACCAAUCCCUAUUGGACUGGUGACCGACAUCCCAUCCUUGUCAGAUUUCUGGACAACCUUUGCACUAAUCUUUAUUUAUCAGAAAUCUGGAACGACCUUACUUGAACAGGAUCUGUUUGAUAGGUUUACAACUGUGUCCUUGGGUUCUUGUUAGAAACCUGGAGAUAUAAAAGGAAAGAGAACCUAAGGGCAUGGAAAGAGAGAUGCCUCCCCUCAAUAACUGCUACUUACAAACACCUAGAGAAGUGUAUUCUUUGCACUAUAAGACAUCUAGUAUGUGUAUUCUACAAUUUUGACAAUUCCUAAACUUUAACUAGUGAUGUUACUUGUGACCUAGUUAGAAAUUUGCUUCUUCUUGGUCUUUGACUUCCAAAAACUUUUGUCAUUAUUGUGUGAUGAAAACUUUUACCAAUUUUUUGUAAUUUUUUUUGUGGGGGUAUGUCUCAUCUCCCCUUAUAGUAAUUGUACAUCCUCUUUUUGGUUAUGGAAAUGUUUGUUUCUUAUAAAAAAAAUAACGAAUAAAUAAGAAAGCUUGGGUCACAUGUACCAAAUGACUGACUUCUGCACGUUUCAUCUUUGUUGGUGCAGAAUUUUUAUUUGAUAAGAAAGCUUGUUAUUCUUUCCUUUUCAGUGCUGCCUUAACAAAAAUUCUUAGAAGUACUGAUGUUGUUCUCUUUUACCUUCAUAAUAUUUCUUAAGAAAAAUAUAACUCACAAUUGAAAGCUUUCAUCUCAUUCUGCAGACAGUAGAAUCACAGUUGGCAAUAAGAGUUGCCUCACUGCUUCAGGAACGGGUGGCUUUAUCAAUGGAGAAUAGCAAAUUAAAGCAGCAGGUUGCAAGAGUUCGACGUGAAAAAUUGACUUCAGAAGGUAACUUCGUCUGCAUCUUUCUUCUCAAAUUUUGUUACUCUUGCAAAUUGCAAGCAAGCAAUGUUGGAAAUAGUGCGCCGAACGUGUAUAACUUAUUUGUUACCAUUAACAGUGCGUAUCAAUGCUAGACCACAACGAAGAAUAUUUUCCCUAACGUGUGUGUACCGUAUGUGGGGACCUCUCAACUAACAAAUAACAUGUUGAUGUAAAGAGACCACUAGAGAGUAUAAAAAGGCAAGGGGGUUUUCUUUUAUUCUUCCAAAGCCUGUAGUCUAGAAUUACAAGGCAUGGCAUGGGGUACCAUUUCAAUGUUGACAAACAUAAAGUUAAAGAAAUUUACAAGAGGGUUCAAGAAAUGACAAAAUAUGUGCGACUUUGGUAAUAGAGUUCCUUUCAAUGCAUUGAAUCUUAAGGUAAGGUGAGAUUUAAAAGAUGGCCUCUCGAUCCUUCCUAAUCCUCCCCUUUAUGUCUGUAAUACUCCCUCCACUCCUUUGCUUUGUUUUUUCGUUUGUUCCUAAGAUAUUCUUUUUAGUGAGAUUUUCUAAUUCCCAUUGGAGGGUUGGAAGUAUUCCGUCCAUAGUAAGUGCAUGGUUGAGAAAACAGCUGUAUGUUUGAUGUUGUGUAUUAGAGGCAGCAGAGUGGGGCUACCCUACUUCUAAGAUUUUGGUUCUCAAAAGAUUUUCAAGCAAAUCAUAGAUGAAUCAAUCAACUCACAAGUGAUCUUACAUUGGUUCAUUUUUUAUUGAAAAAUAAAAAUAAGAAAGUUCAACUGUUCAAAUUUGAGAAUAAAGCUGAUAAUUCGUUCAUAGUUUCUUAAUGACUGAUGAUUUGCUCUUAAGAUAUCCAUCCCCUUAAAAGAUAAAUCCACCCCCUUAAAGAAAUCUUUCAUUCUUGAAAUUGCCUUGAACACAUCACAAUCUACCAACAUAGCUUUACUUUCAGAGGGCGCUCACCAAGCUACUGAAAAGUGAAAUCCCAUCCCAAAGGGGAAGAAGGAACAAAGUUGCCACCAAAACCUUCCAAUAUCACCAAGUGAAACUUGAAAGGACAAUGAAGCAAUGCUCAUCUUAUGGUUUGCACCAUCUGUAUCCCCGGAAUGAGUAUGAAAAGGAAAAAUGAGGUACUCUUUUCAGCAACCUGUCUGUCGUGUUGAUGCUUCUAUGACUUGAAGGCAAAGAAAGUAUUUAUACCUUCUUCCCUUACCUACCUUUCCAAACCAACUUACUUCGUGGAGAAGGAAUAACAACUUUGAUAUCUGACACAUGGAGAGAGAACAAAGAUUCACAUGAAAAUGGGACUAAACUUCCCAAAGACCAUGAUCCUUAAUCCUUUUCAUGCUGAUCUUCUUACUCUUUUGGAUUGUUAAAGCACUUUGUUAAUUUUUGUAAAAGAUAAUCCUAUAUGAGAAAAAAUGUAAUUGAGGUUUAAUUUAUACGUAAUUCAGGAAUUACCAGAAAAACAGUCAAAUAAAUAAAUAAAUCAGAAUAAGCACUUGAAUAAAUAUAUAAUUUGGUUGCUCCAAUCUAAUCAUACUACUUGCUCACACUAUGGCUGAACUCAACUUUCUGUAUUUGAGGAAUGAAGAAUUGUGUUCUAAAAGUAACAAUUUGAGAAACAUUUGAGGUCUGAGGGUAAAGCAAACUGUGUAAAUGUGUGGUGGCGCUUCUAGAAAGAAAAAAACAUGACAUUCUUUCUACAGUGAUUUCAAUUCUAAAAAUAAUAAAAAAGUUGUAGACUGUGAUUGUGGGCUCUAUGGAGCAUUUUGAGGGACAUGAGUUUUUCAUUUUAAGCAUGUAAACGUUAGGCCAAAAGCUUAGAUAGGUAACUUUAUUUGGAGUGCCAAGUUUAUAAAGCUUGGAAUUAGGAAACUUGAAUUUGGGUGCAGGUAUUAGAUCCCAGGCGUUUAGAAAAAUGGAGGUGUGGGUUUAGCACUAUUUAAAUCCACGAUUUUGUUCAACAAACACUAAGUUUGUCAACUCAAGGAGUAAACAUGGUUUAACAUCUCAUGCCAAACUCAUCCAAAACCCCAUAUUUGUUUUACUGUAAUCUGUUUUUCUGGUGUACAGCCAAGCAAGAUUUAACAGCAAAGAGAAAUUUUAGUUAUAUCUAUGAGUACUAGGACUAAAAUAAUAAGCUCAUAGGACUUCACUUGCUACUGAGAUUUCCACUCUGUUUCAAAAUGAUAACUUCCUAAAAUGGGAAAAUCUGAGUGUUUCUGCCUACUUUCCUAUUCUGGUCUCACUGAUCGUAAUGGGCAGAAGUCAAUGGAAUAACUUUGUUUGUAUGAGAUAUGUGUUCUGAAUGCCUAGAAAUAUCAUAUAUAGCUUUUCUUCUUAUGGUGCUUACUGGUUAAAAGAAACUCACCUUGCUACAGGUAGACACCAGGUACUUAAAAAGGAAGUGGAGAAAUUAAAGCUUGUUUUAGCAAAACUUCCAGAAAGACAGCAAGUCAAGAAGUCAUUUUGAGCCUUCUUCUUCCGGGACGUUAUUCAGACCGCCAUCGAACGAUCAUCGAUAAAAUCCAGGAGCAAACUUGAAAGUAUGAGGACAUGGGACUGAUGUGCUAGCCUCCUCCUGCCAUUGUUCUACCAUUGGCAAUGAUUUUCUGCCAUUGAAGUGGAACUUGAAAUUUGUUUUUACUGAUCUGACUUCACGAGGAAAAAAAAAAAAAAACUUUGAUUCCAUCUUUAGUGAUGUUUACUUGAAAGGGGCAAGCAUCCUCUCUGUCUUUGAAAAUGAACCUUUUGGAUUGGUGUAGCUAUGGUGUUUGAAGGGGUUUUAGAAAUUGAAUUUUUGCAGAAAAUUGGAGUUUGAUUCUGUAUCUAAAGGCAGGAUUCACUGGGUACACCCACAGGAAAAAUUAAAAGAAGAUUGAAAAAGAAAGACAGCAUAUGGACCUACAAUCAUUGUUGAAGGAAAAUUUUAUCCACGCACACUUUUUUUCCUUUUUGGACUUUGAAAGAGAUGAUAUAUGCUGACGUGCUAGAGAGCCAGGAAGCAACUCCUUGAUAUAUAUUACUUCUUUUUUACCUAAUAAAAAAAAAGGCUUAAUUUCUAUAUAAAUAUAUAGAAAAGUUGUAAAUAAUAAAGUGGUAAAAAAAUUUACACCAAAUUCCUUUUAUUCAAUCAAUAAUAGACGUCAAUAUAGGCGUAUAGUUCAAUUAGUUAGUGUCUAUCUUUCUGGUUCACUUUUUCAAAGAAAAAGUAAAGAGUUUCUUCUAUCAUAUUGUAAAUCUCACUAGCCAAAAAGUGUGUUAGUUACUUGGAACCACUGAAUCAUUGCCACAAUUCCUGGUCUCAAAUAUCGGAUGUUUUAAACUAAAUUAAUCAUUUGAUUUAUUCAGGUUCCAUCUCAACUAAAUUUAUUCAAACUGCCAUCUAAGUUUUUUAAAAAAAUCGAGGGUAAUCUAUUCUUAUUCAUCAACCAAAGCAGCUAGUAUGUUAAAUUAGAACAAUAGUUCUUUGAAGUUAACCGUUAAUGAACACGACUAAUGUGCCUACAUAUUAUCUGGCAUAUAAACUAUAAACUAUAAGUUAUGAACUGUCAACACAAAAAAAUGAUACCAAGAAUGUGCCUAUAUAUAUAUAGUUUGAGCCAAAGACUUCAAGACUGCCUGGAGGAACAAUUCCAAAUGCAGGUUGUUAUCAAAUACAUGAUGGAGUAAAUAAUCAAACGAUGAAUUGAUUAUCCAUUUAUAUAUGAAUCAAUAUAAGCUCUGCACAAAUAUGUAUACAAAGAUUCACUCCAAUUUUUGGCCUCCCGGUAAAGAUGGUCCAGAUGAGACAAAUGCAACUUCUAGCCUCGAAGGGAUGCGUGAGGAACAGCGGGUAAACCCAAUUCAUCCUCGGCCUGUACAAUUAAGGGGGGAAAAAGAACUCAAUGCAUGUAAAAGAGCCGAAGGAGCAAAGGUAAAAUUAGACCAUAUCAAUCAAUAACACUAUGUAAUUUAGAAUAGAUGGAUCCUGACAUUCUCUUGAACAGACGACAGAUGUGUAACUUCAUGUUAAUGGAUGCAUAUGCAGUUCAUGUCGUGAACUACGUAGUGAUUUUCUCAAGAAAGAAAAAAAAGGGUGUUGGCAUUAGCAUGCAUCCUGUAAAUCUAAGUAAUAUGCAUUUCACAAUCGUCUUUUAAACGAACAAGUUCGUGACUAUUCACUCAGAAAUUGAUCCUGUUUUUCAACGACCAUUACCUGCGCAUUGUUUCUGCCAGCAGGAACUGCUGCAUGCCCUAUAGGAGCGGCAGGCAAGUUGAGCUCUCCUUCAAAAUCAGAUUCCUUGUCAGGCUGGAGAUAAGAUGGAACCCCAUCAGCUUCAGUUUCAAAUCCCAUGUCUGCUUCCAAGGCAUCAAGCUCUAUAAUCCAAAACGUAGGCACGAUGUAAGAUAACUAGGGUACCAUAUAUUUCAUCGACAUUGAGCCAAAAUACAGUAUUCUUACCACCCAAAAGUUCAUCCUCAUCAAUGUCGUCAGGUACAUUAUAGCUCCUACCAAGAGUCUCUUGAAUUUCAUUGCUCACAUCCAUCAGAUCCAUCAUCUCAUCUUGUAAGUUCUGCAGGCAAUACAAAACCUCUCAACAAAUGCCAAAAUAAAACUAGGGAUGAUAAAAAGAGUUGAUUGCUACUGACAUCUAUGUCUUGUAUUCUGACUGUUUUCAUCAUUCCUUUCAACUCCUUAUUGGCGGAUUUCAAGGCCGACAUCUGGAAAAUACAAAACCAACGUUAGUUUGACAGAUAAAGUGACUCUCCUAUUUGAUUAAAUAGAUAAAUAAAAACAGGAUAUCAAUCCACAAUCCGAGCUAAACUGAUAUUAAGAAGAACCAUAAGAGAGAAUCUAGAUAGAAUUUUAUUGAACUUCAAGAAAUGCCUUCCUAAUGACAGAUGUUUGUCCCCUACCUCGUUCUCUCACGAGGUAGGCAGCAGGUUCCAAUUAGACAGACAAAGCUCCACCUGAACUGCCCUGAACUCUGUACUUGUACCAAGAAAACAAAUUUUUGGCAAGAAUUAACUGAUGGAUUAAUAGGAAUUACCGCAACCCAGAUUUCUUGGUCAUCUGACUCACGUAAUAAACACAAACUAAUACACGCGAUAUCUAGUCAAACAAUUAUUAAGUACGCAAGUAAGUUAUUUCCCCUUUCCAAACCUAUGAUUUCCUUGAUCUAACAUUAAAUCUUUAAGUCCAAAUCUGCCAUGGAAGACUCACAUUUUAUUAUUAAUUAUUAUUACUUUUUUGGAUGGCUGAAAAAUGAGAAGACCAAUUAUCACAAAAAUAUUCAGCAGAUGUUACCGUUUGCUGAGCAUCUUUUAUGCCCUCCGAGGCAAAUGCAACUUGAUCUAAGUUAAAUGUCUGAUUGUAAAGCAUGUCACGUUGUCCUUCAUACCUGUUCAGAAGCAAAAGAAAUAUCUUAAUAACCAUUCUGAUAGUAAACAAGAGAAAGUAACCAUACAUAGCAUGGUGAACAAUUUUAAGUUUAGAACAAAAUAAUCCCAAUCCAAUUUUAGUCAGACGACUUUCCCGUUCAGUUUGAUAGCAAGCAAUUAAAUCUACAAGCUUUAUUCCAUAAACAAGAUUAGUUAAAUUAUGGUCAAGUGAAUCAAAGUGUAAGGAAUUCUGGAAAAGGGAGACAAUGUAUUCCCGGGAACCUAACAGUUAACUACGAAAAGGUAAAAGUACAACAAAAGCACAGGGAAAAACAGAAGUUCAUAGUAAUCUAUUAUAGGCCAAUGUUAGGCAGAGGACCAGUCCCAAGGAAACAUGUUUAAGUAAACAUAUAUGCCUUAAAACACGAACAAAGUUGACAUACAGGCUUGUGGUAGAUCUCCAAGCCAAACUACUUUUUAAGUGAAAGAAUAUGAAGGUUAAUCAUAUGCUCAUGUAGCACGGAACAUACAUUCGUUUUUGCUUUAGAACUCUCAUUGCUCGGGCUUUAACAGCUUCUUGAGCUGGACCAGGCCUCGUUUUCUUGAUCUGCUCCUUAUAUCUACUGAGUUCAACAUCAAGCUUCUUUAUCUUAUCAUCAACUGAUUCACCCCUUUUAUUAAUCUGAAAAACAGAACACGCUCAACCCCAAUUGAAACAAAUCGAUUAAAACCAAAACCAAAACCCUAGAUGUCAAAAAUUAUAACGGUUUACCCUAUCGGAGGCAUCUUGAAUAGAAGGCGGCGGUUCUUUGUCUUUCUUGACACCAAAAACCCUCUUCAUCUUUCUGUUCUUCUCCCUAUUCCUUCGCUGCAAAAAAGAACAAAAAAAUGGAGGAAUUCGACGUCGAUUAACUUAGAAAGAAGAGAAACGACGCCGGAAUUCGGAAGAAAAACACUCCAAAAUGAGAAUUUGGUUACAGCGAGAAGAUCGCGAUGAGAAUCUCUUUGUUGAUAUCUCCUUUUCUUGGAUCGUUCAGAGGACGAAGGAGAAGACCAAAUGGAAAAAUAUUCCGCUGCACCCGAUUCUAUGUUUGGAGAACACAAUUUACGGCUUUACCCCAUAUAAUAGAAUUUAAAAUUUUGCAAAUACGUUUUGGUUGAAAUUGGAUUGAUGACAAAAACCUUUUAAAAAAAACAGUUAAUGCUAUAUUUUUAAUAUAUCAAUCUAUCAAAUAGUCAUUAACUUUUAAACGUGUUACCUUUCAAUUUAGAAAAUGUAGUAACGUAGAUUCAAUUACGAUAAUUUUUUUCAUUUUUUCAAAUUUUUUACCAUUUGUAAUAAUUAUAUAUAUAUAUAGAAAAUUAGUGUAGAUAACAAAAUUACUAAAACUAUAGAAUUCUAUCAAUACUAUUUUAUGAUAUUUUGGUAUAUUUGAAAAUGAGCAUAUAUAUAUAUAUAUAUAUAUUUGACUAAGUUAUAUAUGUGUGUGGUUUUAUCAUGAAAUAGUUGAAGUUUUCAAUUUAGUCCAACAACCACGACAUCUCAAAUUGAGUUAUAAACAAAGCUCAAAGUCAAACAAAUUGGUACUUUAUUCUUUUAAAACUUUCAAUUACUUUGUUUGACUAUUAAAAUUAAUUUCAGAUUGCGUAAUUAUUGUUAUAUUUUGGUUAAAAAUGUCAUAUGUAAUGGAAUGUAUAAUUAGCAAAAUGAAAUUAUUUAUAUAAGAUUACCUAAUUUGAAACUAUUUUAAAACUUUAUUGACGUAUUAAAAUGAAAUUUAAAGAUAAAAGAUCAAGUGUAAUUGAUCCAACAUUUGGUUAUAUAAACAUGUCUAGUUUUUUUCUAUUAAAUUAAAACACAGAUAAAUUCUACUAAAUUAAAUUAUUUUCACAUCACAUUCUUGUUUUGUAAAUAGAUUGUCAUUUUGAGACAAUAAGAACUUUAAUUGGAUAAUUAUAUAUAUAAAAAGAAGAUAAUACAAGAAGAAUAAAAUUGAAAAUCUUAAAAAAAAAAAAAGAAUAUUACACAAACACAAGCUUUCUCUCAAACUCACUACAAAAUAUUACAAUUCAGCACUCACAUGAGAUAUAACUUCAAAGACUUUCUUUUCAAGUCUUCUAAGACAUUUCAACUCUUAAAUCACACAUCAUAGAGUGUCUUUCAAGCCACUUUUUUUGAGAAAGAUACGAUACAACGAAGACGAACCAAACCCACUCACAUUGAAAAGAUCAGAGAAUGUUCGAUAUUGUACCAUCAACAUUUUGAUGACCAUGUUGUAUUGUACAUCAGUUGGUUUUGUAGAACCAUGUCAGGGAAGAAAAUGCAGCAAGGACUGGAUGGUUCAGCUCGAUGAAACAUCAAGGUGCUAAUCCAAGUUCCUUUCUUGUCUUUCCCACAAACAAGUCUCCAGAUUUAAUCAAUCCAGGGAUGCAUCCACUAAUUGUAAUGAAAGGUAGUUGUGCAACUCCUUCUUUCCUUCCGAGAGAAACGAUUGCGAGCUGGGAACCGGGUUUGUACGUAGCUAGCCUGCUCUCAUUUGCUCCUGCUAGCAUCAGUUUUAGGUUCUUGGAAGUUACAUGCGCAUGUCUUUCUGCUAAGUAACCUUGUUUGAUUUCCUGUUCAAUGAAUCCAAAUUCACAAUAUUAAUAGCUUUGACAUUAUUACAGAUUUCUUCUUCACUUUUGACCUUUUAUCAUUUUUUCCUACUUUUUCUAGCACCCUAUAUAGAAAUGGUCUGCUCUUAAGUUCAACUCAUUGGAGGCUACUUUUACUUGUUUCGACAUUUAUGAUUUAAACACAAGUUGAAUUACAAAGGACAACAAACGAUGAUCAUCCUGCCAUUGACCUAAAAAGACAAUUAGGAUUCUCUUUGAAUCAACUUAGUGAUAUAGAAGUGUCAAAAUCAAACCGCCAUGAAAUAUGAGUUCGGAUAUGCAUGUAUCAUUGAGCAUGAUGAAGGAAGGGCAGUCAUCUAUUAGGUUACAACCAACUCUUCUACCCUUAAGAGAAUUUUUUUUCAUAAACUAGUAUAUAAGUUAUCUAUUUUGUAGCUAUUAACUAAAUGCAAUUAUGGCUAAUGGUUAAUUAAGAAAUCGUCCAAUCUUUUAAAUAAAGGACUUGCCUGAAGGUCUGUGAUAUCUCCCACUGCAAAGACAUUCUUAAAACCCCUGACUCUCAGGUGCUUGUCGACCAUCAGUCUUCCAUGGAUGUCCAAGCUUUUUGCCAAGACUGUCUCUUUCAACCACUGAGAUCCAAUUGGUUUUCCGGUGCACAUAAAGUGGCAAUCGGCUGCAAUAGUCUCGCCACCUGAAGUUUGAUAUACUCCCUCUGAUAAAGCUUGCAUUGAAAUAGAUUGUUGGAGGAUCACUUCAACUUUCUUUGAUGUUAGCCAAUCCAGUGCUUUUUGAGAAGCCUUAACCCCAACAAAUUCCAUUAAUCUCGGCCCUCGGUGUAUUAAUUUCAAAUUUUUCUCAGGAAAAUCAACUGCAAUUUCAGCAGCAAGUUCAACACCAGUAGGGCCUCCUCCAAUUAUUAAAAUCGUAUCGGCAGAUUUUAUCUUCUCGCAUUCUGUAUCCAAAAAGACCAAGUUAGCUAGCUAAUCCAACCUAUAUGUUUGAUGUCCUAGCAUAUCCUGAAAGCAAUUAAACAGAAACUUAUUCCUACUUUCAAUUUCAGCUACUGUCGAUCCUAUUUAUAGUAACUAGAGUAUUUUGCUUAGGGGCCAGUUCUCAAAAGAUUUCACCACACGAAACUUAGCUCCAAGAGCCAACUAUAAGUUAUAAGUUCUCAACCUAGGAGUUUGAGUCGAACGUCAGAGACCAUUAUUCUCUUUCUAGUUUUAUCUUUAUCCCAACGCUUACUAAAAUUGGAUAAAGACCCCAAAAUUAGAACCGGGCAACUCCAAAAGUUGAAGGUGCAAAACAAGAAGGCUUCUGUCUAGCUUAUGUACAAAUCAAGAUUAUCUAAUCACUCUGCUACUUUACGAUCACACAUAAACGAAAUUUUGUAGUGAAAGUUGCAUAUAUCAGGUAUGGAAAUAAAGCUCCAGAGAAAGAAAAAAAAAAGAAGUGCAAGUCCAUGCAGAUCCUACAACUGAACUAUUGGCAUGGCCAGUUCUACUUCAAGAAAAAACAUAAAAGUUUCAUUGAAACAAUUUUAUUCACCUGCUUGGUAUUGACCGAGCCUUUCAGUUCUACUUUUUGGAAUGUUUUCCUUGUGACCGGUGGCAACAAUAAGAUAAUCGUAAGGAACUGAAGAGCCAUCUGACACGAAAACUUCCUUGUCUGUAAUACUUGUGGCUGAAGAUGCAAUAAUUCUUGCAUUGGGAAGGUAAUCUGUAUGAUUAAUCACAGAUCUUUCAGCAAAUGAUGGCUCCACCAUUGACCUCAAGCCUGCCCAUGAGAUCUCGAAAUACUCCUUCCUGAAUCCAGUUAAAUCAUUUAUUUAUCAUUAUGACCAUUCUGAAAAAUAAUUGCUUCAGGAAAAGAAAAGCUGGGACGUAACUCAAGUUGCACCUCUAGCUAAGAAUGAAAUCAAAUUAAAUAGUAGAAAAUGAAGGACAAGAAACUUGUAUAUUGUUGGUUAAAAAAGAAUAAGUAUAUUUAUCCAAAGAUAAUUUUUUCUUAAGAAAAACCCUCUAGGCCAAACAAAAAUAAAUAUACUGGGGGUGUUUGGUCCCAACUUUAAGAGGUGAAGUCAUGUUUGGGACUCCAGUUACAAUGGUUGGUAUUUCGAACUACUACUUCCUACUCAUACUAUAAUAGUUUCACCCCAAACAUAUCCCAUUAUAACCUACACUAAAAUAAUAUGUACACCAAAUUCAGACUAAUAACCUAUAAAAUAAUAUGAUCCAACAACACUCCCCUGAGUGUUUGUCUACUGGACAUGCUCUUCAUGUAGUAUAGUCAAAGAUAAUGUACCCUCAUACCAAAAAGCUAAAAGAGAUUUAUUCUUUUGUUUGAAAAAAAUCCACUAAUACCAUUCAACAAUUAAAACCAUCAACAUACUUGUCCCCCACCGCCGAUAUUAAUAACGAUAAUAAUAACAAUAAUACCAACAACAACAAUAACAACAAAGGAGCUUCAUUAUCUAAAUAUAUUCCAUUAGCAUAUCAUCCUCUAACAAAUGAGAUAAGCUCUUGCAAGCCUCGAAUCAGCUACUUUUCUAUUGCCUAUAAAUAGCUUAAACAUUCGACUUAAUCAUCCAAAAUUCUCUUCCUCGUAAUUAGCUAAAGCCUGAAAUAGGCAUACGAAAUAUUUACCCUAACGUUAUUUGAUUUUAUCUCUAAACAUAACUUUAUUUGGUUUGCCUCAGCCCUUCCUAUUCUCUGCCUCAUAACACACUCCACCAAGCUAUAAUGAUAACUCUAAUUUUUCUUAUAUUCGUCCAUGAACCACUCCCCUUUCACAAAUCCAUCAAUUUAUCAACACAAUUACCAAAUCUGCAUAUUACUUUCAACCAUCAAAUUAAAUCACCCUUUCUCCAGUUCAAAUUGUCAAGGAAAACCAUUAGUGAUCUGCCAUUAAUAACAACUCGUGUAACGAAAUAAAAUUUCAGUCAACGAGUAGCCGUUACAAUUUCUCAGCAAGAUCACCAAUUAACGAUUUCCCUUAACACGAAUCCCCUCCAACAAAAUGGGCAACAAACAGUUCCUAAACUUUCCAAUGAACAAACAAUAACAGAAUACAUAUGUAAACAAAGCAAAAACUUACUGAUCGAUUAGAACGACAUCGGCGACAAAUUGAAGAGAAUAAGCAACAAAUGCGCCGCCAAUUCCUCCACCUACAAUCACCACUCUCUUCUUGUCCUCGGCCGCCAUCAUCUGCAGGCCUUUGGUAGAAUUCAAUA
RNAcentral lists this long non-coding RNA (19505 nucleotides) under Cucumis sativus (cucumber). Its description in RNAcentral is "long non-coding RNA (CSAT_LNC002099)". The record is from RNAcentral. Lineage: Eukaryota; Viridiplantae; Streptophyta; Magnoliopsida; Cucurbitales; Cucurbitaceae.